Molecule: microRNA precursor, 104 nt
Filed under: Fragaria vesca subsp. vesca
Lineage: Eukaryota; Viridiplantae; Streptophyta; Magnoliopsida; Rosales; Rosaceae
Description: Fragaria vesca miR11308 stem-loop (fve-MIR11308)
Source: miRBase by way of RNAcentral
GCACCUGCUAACUUGUAAUCCUAACUUAAUACUCCAUUUGGAUCAACUCUCAGUUGAUUACGAUUAAUAUGGAGUAAUAAGUUAGGAUUCUAGUUACCUGGUGC